UCCCUGGUGGUCCAGUGGUUACGACUCCGCGCUUCCACUGCAGGGGCGCAGGUUCAGUCCCUGGCUGGGGAA
Molecule: transfer RNA, 72 nt
Filed under: Bos taurus (domestic cattle)
Lineage: Eukaryota; Metazoa; Chordata; Mammalia; Artiodactyla; Bovidae
Also listed under: 2 other names
Rfam family: tRNA
About the family: Transfer RNA (tRNA) molecules are approximately 80 nucleotides in length. Their secondary structure includes four short double-helical elements and three loops (D, anti-codon, and T loops).
Source: Rfam by way of RNAcentral